This 324-nucleotide ribosomal RNA is filed under the name uncultured eukaryote. Its description in RNAcentral is "partial 18S ribosomal RNA". It matches the Rfam family "Eukaryotic small subunit ribosomal RNA", at positions 1470 to 1796 of the family's 1831-position model. The record is from RNAcentral.
CCCUUAGAUGCUCUGGGCCGCACGCGCGCUACACUGGUCGAUGCAACGAGUUUCUUUCCUUGGCCGACAGGCCUGGGCAAUCUUUGAACAUCGAUCGUGAUCGGGAUAGAUUCUUGUAAUUUUUGAUCUUAAACGAGGAAUUCCUAGUAAACGCAAGUCAUCAGCUUGCAUUGAUUACGUCCCUGCCCUUUGUACACACCGCCCGUCGCACCUACCGAUUGAAUGGUCCGGUGAAAUCUCCGGACUGGCGUGAGUCGGAGCAAUCUGACAAACGCUGGAAAGUUGAUUAAACCUUACCAUUUAGAGGAAGGUGAAGUCGUAACA